CAGUAGCCGCGGUAAUACGUAGGUGGCAAGCGUUGUCCGGAAUUAUUGGGCGUAAAGGGCUCGCAGGCGGUUUCUUAAGUCUGAUGUGAAAGCCCCCGGCUCAACCGGGGAGGGUCAUUGGAAACUGGGAAACUUGAAUGCAGAAGAGGAGAGUGGAAUUCCACGUGUAGCGGUGAAAUGCGUAGAGAUGUGGAGGAACACCAGUGGCGAAGGCGACUCUCUGGUCUGUAACUGACGCUGAGGAGCGAAAGCGUGGGGAGCGAACAGGAUUAGAUACCCCAGUAGUCCCUGUCUCUUAUAC
RNAcentral lists this ribosomal RNA (301 nucleotides) under uncultured bacterium. RNAcentral describes it as "partial 16S ribosomal RNA". It matches the Rfam family "Bacterial small subunit ribosomal RNA", at positions 509 to 807 of the family's 1533-position model. The record is from RNAcentral.